GAUGAACGCUAGCGGCAGGCCUAAUACAUGCAAGUCGGACGGGAUUCAGGAGCUUGCUUCUGAUGAGAGUGGCGCACGGGUGCGUAACACGUAUGUAACCUACCUUUAUCAGGGGGAUAGCCUCUCGAAAGAGAGAUUAAGCCCGCAUAAAAUCACAGCACUGCAUUGUGUAAUGAUCAAAUAUUUAUAGGAUAAAGAUGGGCAUGCGGAACAUUAGCUAGAUGGCGGGGUAACGGCCCACCAUGGCGACGAUGUUUAGGGGAUCUGAGAGGAUGGCCCCCCACACUGGUACUGAGACACGGACCAGACUCCUACGGGAGGCAGCAGUAAGGAAUAUUGGUCAAUGGGCGGAAGCCUGAACCAGCCAUGCCGCGUGCAGGAAGACGGCCCUACGGGUUGUAAACUGCUUUUAUACGGGAAUAAACCCAGAUACGUGUAUCUGGCUGAAUGUACUGUAAGAAUAAGGAUCGGCUAACUCCGUG
RNAcentral lists this ribosomal RNA (482 nucleotides) under uncultured bacterium. RNAcentral's name for it is "partial 16S ribosomal RNA". It matches the Rfam family "Bacterial small subunit ribosomal RNA", at positions 28 to 507 of the family's 1533-position model. The record is from RNAcentral.